Molecule: long non-coding RNA, 360 nt
Filed under: Olea europaea subsp. europaea
Lineage: Eukaryota; Viridiplantae; Streptophyta; Magnoliopsida; Lamiales; Oleaceae
Source: RNAcentral
ACCCAUGCACCUAAACAUCUCCUUCUUUUCCCAUCUGCAUACAGCACCCUCCCCUUGUUCAUGGUGUAAAUGGUAGUUCUAGUGAAUGAAGGUGGUGAUGGUGAGGAAAGGCGAUGGCAGAGGUGGCAGCUAGAUGGUGGUGAUGGCGUGAUGGUUCAAUUGGGAUGAUAACCAGCCUUCAAGUUGAACACAGAGGUCUCAAAGGCGAGCACUAUUGUCGAUUCCUCUCUAUUGUUUUUAUUUUGAGGUUUUGCCAUUUCAUUUUCGAAUGCUUGAGGAAGCUGCUGGUUUUGAGGUGACGUUGGAAUUGGAGGUUGAGGGAACGAUCGACAUUUGGGUGAGAAUGGUUUUUGCUUUUAA